UACGGAGGGUGCAAGCGUUGUUCGGAUUUAUUGGGCGUAAAGGGCGUGUAGGCGGUCUCGUAAGUCUGAUGUGAAAGCUCCGGGCUCAACCCGGGAAGUGCAUUGGAAACUGUGAGACUUGAGUACGGGAGAGGGCAGUGGAAUUCCUAGUGUAGGAGUGAAAUCCGUAGAUAUUAGGAGGAACACCGGUGGCGAAGGCGGCUGCCUGGACCGAUACUGACGCUGAGACGCGAAAGCGUGGGGAGCAAACAGG
RNAcentral lists this ribosomal RNA (253 nucleotides) under uncultured bacterium. Its description in RNAcentral is "partial 16S ribosomal RNA". It matches the Rfam family "Bacterial small subunit ribosomal RNA", at positions 524 to 776 of the family's 1533-position model. The record is from RNAcentral.